CCAAGGUCGCCAUGACAUCGCCUACAAGCGUGACUGGGGAUUUCUAUUGGAGCAGUUUUAUCCUGUCUUUGACUUUGUGGCUGUAGUGACGACCCAUCUCUGCUGAUCAAGUCUGCCAAUCACGUUCUCCUUAUCGAAGGUAUUAAACACACACCGAGGGAAAGGGUUCUCCAUCCGACAAACUGCUAACGUUAUCAGCUCUCCUGUCCAGCUCCCCACCAAGCAUGGGCUGAUUCAGUCACCUGUGAGGAGAACCAUCCUACAGCAGUUUCAACUAGACCUGCUGUCCCUAUUUAGACAUUGAGACCACAUAUGCAUUUUCCUGUUGUCUUUUUUUGUGUGGAUUGUCUUAGUCUAGUGCAUUUUAGAGUUGAAGAACACCAACUACAGAUACACAUCCUGGUUUGAGCAUCUCAAAGACUAUAUUCAAUGUAGAGUCAGUUUAACAGGUAACAAACAUAUAACAAACACAUUGUCCCCAUCAGGAGCACAGGCUUUUGCCAUAGAUGGUAGAGUUCUUGUCUCUGGACCACACAAGCAUUCUGCUAAGGCACUUGUCUCUCUUUACAUUGGUCAGCUACAUUGGUGACCAGGGUGGGAUCCUUUCAAUACGACUAUGGGGCCGGGGUACACACACUCCUAGAAGAGGAGAAAUACUGAAGCAUGUGUUAUGACAGUUUUACAGUCUCCAUCAGAGGCCCAGGCUUUUGGCAUAGAUUGUAAAGCUCUCAUUUCUGGACUGCAGCAUUGUAAGAUUGUGCCCUCCACUGCACUUGAUAUACAUUGAUUGUUAGGUUACACUAUAUUCAGAUACUAAAAAUACUACCUGAGAGACACCUUUGCUAUUUGUCUCUGUACUCAAAUGGUGAAUCACUAUUUGUGAUGAUGUUCUUUGUUUGAAUGUAUGUGCAUGGAUUGUACAUUAUGGAAAACAUGUCUCACACUCAGUCAUAGUUAGUAGGUUAUGUGUCGCUCAGUUGGUAGAGCAUGGAGCUUGCAACGCCAGGGUUGUGGGUUCAAUUCCCACGGGGGGCCAGUUCAGAUUAAAAAAGAAUGUAUUGUAUGCACUCACUACUGUAAGUUGCUCUGGAUAAGAGCAAAAUAAAUUGGCAAGAUUUUGGCACCGUCCACUUUUAGGUUAGUAGGAAAGUUAAUCAUUUAAACCACCUAAAUAUACUCAUUCACUGAAUAUUUAGUAUUUGAAACUCAAACAAUAAUUUCACAACUGCUAUUUCUAUAAUGCCACUGGCUGUUUAUCAUUAUCCAUACCUUAUAUUCCAAUGACUCCAACAUUAUGCAUGCCCACCAUGGUAUUGGGCAGCUGCUUUCUGAGAACUCAUCUGGUUCUCGUUGCAGAGCAUAUGAUUUUUAUUUUAGAGAAGAUCGUAUUGCAAGGUAUGCAAUAUAUAUUGGCUAAUAUGCAUAUGCAGCUCUAUUCUAGCAUACGACACACACCUUUAUAUCUACAUGCUUUAAUUCGGGUUUUUGUGCAAAUUAUAUGGUUGAAUGUUACUUUAAGCCUGCAGCUAGUUACUUGAAAUACGACGAUCAUGCCAAAACAUGAUUCAACAUCGGAUUCAUUGACAGAGAUAACUAAUGAAACACUAGUUUCCUGAGCAGGCACAUUACGUUUAACUUACAGUAUUACCUCGUUAAGCUUGUUAACUUUAACUUUUGGCUAGCUUUCAAUAAAUUGGCUAAAUGGUAAACGGA
Non-coding RNA from Salmo salar (Atlantic salmon), 1713 nucleotides. Lineage: Eukaryota; Metazoa; Chordata; Actinopteri; Salmoniformes; Salmonidae. The record is from RefSeq and is a predicted model, not a curated record.